RNAcentral lists this ribosomal RNA (455 nucleotides) under uncultured bacterium. RNAcentral's name for it is "bacterial SSU rRNA". It matches the Rfam family "Bacterial small subunit ribosomal RNA", at positions 340 to 786 of the family's 1533-position model. The record is from RNAcentral.
UACGGAAGGCAGCAGUGGGGAAUAUUGCACAAUGGGCGAAAGCCUGAUGCAGCUAUGCCGCGUGUAUGAAGAAGGCCUUAGGGUUGUAAAGUACUUUCAGCAGGGAGGAAGAAAUAAAACUAAUAAUUUUAUUUUGUGACGUUACCUGAAGAAGAAGCACCGGCUAACUCCGUGCCAGCAGCCGCGGUAAUACGGAGGGUGCAAGCGUUAAUCAGAAUUACUAGGCGUAAAGAGCGCGUAGGUGGUUUUUUUAAGUCAGAUGUGAAAUCCCUAGGCUUAACCUAGGAACUGCAUUUUGAAACUGAAAACUAGAGUAUCGUAGAGGGAGGUAGAAUUCUAGGUGUAGCGGUGAAAUGCGUAGAUAUCUGGAGGAAUACCUGUGGCGAAAGCGGCCUCCUAAACGAAUACUGACACUGAGGUGCGAAAGCGUGGGGAGCAAACAGGGAUUAGAUACC